GAUGAACGCUGGCGGCGUGCCUAAUACAUGCAAGUCGAGCGAACGGACGAGAAGCUUUCUUCUCUGAUGUUAGCGGCGGACGGGUGAGUAACACGUGGAUAACCUACCUAUAAGACUGGGAUAACUUCGGGAAACCGGAGCUAAUACCGGAUGAUAUUUUGAACCGCAUGGUUCAAAAGUGAAAGACGUUCUUGCUGUCACUUAUAGAUGGAUCCGCGCUGCAUUAGCUAGUUGGUAAGGUAACGGCUUACCAAGGCAACGAUGCAUAGCCGACCUGAGAGGGUGAUCGGCCACACUGGAACUGAGACACGGUCCAGACUCCUACGGGAGGCAGCAGUAGGGAAUCUUCCGCAAUGGGCGAAAGCCUGACGGAGCAACGCCGCGUGAGUGAUGAAGGUCUUCGGAUCGUAAAACUCUGUUAUUAGGGAAGAACAUAUGUGUAAGUAACUGUGCACAUCUUGACGGUACCUAAUCAGAAAGCCACGGCUAACUACGUG
This 497-nucleotide ribosomal RNA is filed under the name uncultured bacterium. RNAcentral's name for it is "partial 16S ribosomal RNA". It matches the Rfam family "Bacterial small subunit ribosomal RNA", at positions 28 to 507 of the family's 1533-position model. The record is from RNAcentral.